GUGAAUCAUCGAAUUUUUGAACGCAAAUUGCACUCUCUUCGGAGAGUAUGCCUGUUUGAGGGUCAGCCUAAAUAAAAUCUACAUGGUUUCUUUUACGCUGUAACAUUCGUCGUAUAUUGGGUCAUCUUAAACCUUUGGGUUAAAGCGAGUUAAAAUUGUCUUUUCGAUUCCAAGAACGUUUCUAAUAUUUUAUUUUCUUAUACGUUUACGGUAACGAUCUUUAUUAGAACUUUCCUUUGC
This 240-nucleotide unclassified non-coding RNA is filed under the name Glomus sp. RNAcentral describes it as "partial contains 5.8S ribosomal RNA and internal transcribed spacer 2". The stretch from base 1 to 65 matches the Rfam family "5.8S ribosomal RNA", at positions 84 to 154 of the family's 154-position model. Lineage: Eukaryota; Fungi; Glomeromycota; Glomeromycetes; Glomerales; Glomeraceae. The record is from RNAcentral.